GAUGAACGCUAGCUACAGGCUUAACACAUGCAAGUCGAACGAAGCAUUUUGAAUGAAGUUUUCGGAUGGAUUUUGAGAUGACUGAGUGGCGGACGGGUGAGUAACACGUGGAUAACCUGCCUCACACUGGGGGACAACAGUUAGAAAUGACUGCUAAUACCGCAUAAGCGCACAGUACCGCAUGGUACAGUGUGAAAAACUCCGGUGGUGUGAGAUGGAUCCGCGUCUGAUUAGCCAGUUGCGGGUAACGCCCACCAAAGCGACGAUCAGUAGCCGACCUGAGAGGGUGACCGGCCACAUUGGGACUGAGACACGGGCCCAAACUCCUACGGGAGCAGCAGUGGGGAAUAUUGCACAAUGGGCGAAAGCCUGAUGCAGCGACGCCGCGUGAGUGAAG
Molecule: ribosomal RNA, 397 nt
Filed under: uncultured bacterium
Lineage: Bacteria
Description: bacterial SSU rRNA
Rfam family: Bacterial small subunit ribosomal RNA
Source: RNAcentral